AAAAAUAGAAGCAAUAAUUGUCAGGAUAUGAUCAUUUGCAGAUGCUCCUCCAGUUGCAAUAAUCUUUUUGGGUGGAGAAGGCAUUCCAAGUCUCUCGGCAUGAGCUCGCAUGGAGAGUAACUGCCCCUCAAUUAUCGCUCGAACCUGUAAGUACCAGUCACCUCCAUUUGUGUUUGUGUCUCUAUAUGUUAAUUAAGUCUUUUCAUGAUUCAGAUAACUUCUUCAAUAGAAGGCCACUUACCUCUGAAGGCGGAUCAAACUCUUCUACUUCAUGUUCUAUUACUCCAUCCAUGGAGUCACCUGUGAAAUUAUCAAGAACGUAGCGGUGGAAACCAACUGGAGACCAAGCUUGU
This 353-nucleotide long non-coding RNA is filed under the name Solanum lycopersicum (tomato). Its description in RNAcentral is "long non-coding RNA (SLYC_LNC000108)". The record is from RNAcentral. Lineage: Eukaryota; Viridiplantae; Streptophyta; Magnoliopsida; Solanales; Solanaceae.